This 619-nucleotide ribosomal RNA is filed under the name uncultured Candidatus Poseidoniales archaeon. RNAcentral describes it as "bacterial SSU rRNA". It matches the Rfam family "Archaeal small subunit ribosomal RNA", at positions 303 to 923 of the family's 1478-position model. Lineage: Archaea; Methanobacteriati; Thermoplasmatota; Candidatus Poseidoniia; Candidatus Poseidoniales. The record is from RNAcentral.
CUGAGACACGAAUCCAGACCCUACGGGGUGCAGCAGGCGCGAAAACUUGGCAAUGCGAGCAAUCGUGACCAGGGAACUCCAAGUGGCUGGGGUAAUACCCAGUUUUUUCUUGACUCUUCAAAGGUCUUGGAAUAAGGGGUGGGUAAGGACGGUGCCAGCCGCCGCGGUAAUACCGGCGCCUCAAGUGGUAGUCGCUUUUAUUGGGCCUAAAACGUCCGUAGCCGGUCUGGUGCAUUCGUGGGUAAAUCAACCCGCUCAACGGGUUGAAUUCUGCGAGCACGGCCAGACUUGGGACCGGGAGAGGUGUGGGGUACUCUCAGGGUAGGGGUAAAAUCCUGUCAUCCUGAGAGGACCACCUGUUGCGAAGGCGCCACACUAGAACGGAUCCGACGGUCAGGGACGAAACCUAGGGGCACGAACCGGAUUAGAUACCCGGGUAGUCCUAGGUGUAAACGCUGUGGACUUGAUGUUGGGGGUGCUCCGAGCGCUCUCAGUGUCGAAGCGAAGGUGAUAAGUCCACUGCCUGGGGAGUACGGUCGCAAGGCUGAAACUUAAAGGAAUUGGCGGGGGAGCACUGCAACCUGAGGAUUGUGCGGUUUAAUUGGACUCAACGCCGGAA